Molecule: small nuclear RNA, 201 nt
Filed under: Suricata suricatta (meerkat)
Lineage: Eukaryota; Metazoa; Chordata; Mammalia; Carnivora; Herpestidae
Description: U2 spliceosomal RNA (ENSSSUG00005021485.1)
Rfam family: U2 spliceosomal RNA (bases 1-153)
About the family: U2 is a small nuclear RNA (snRNA) component of the spliceosome (involved in pre-mRNA splicing). Complementary binding between U2 snRNA (in an area lying towards the 5' end but 3' to hairpin I) and the branchpoint sequence (BPS) of the intron results the bulging out of an unpaired adenosine, on the BPS, which initiates a nucleophilic attack at the intronic 5' splice site, thus starting the first of two transesterification reactions that mediate splicing.
Source: RNAcentral
AUCGCUUCUCAGCCUUUUGGCUAAGAUCAAGUAUAGUAUCUGUUCUUAUCAGUAUCAUGUGAUCUGCAAAUAGUGAAACUUUGACUUCUUCCUUGCUGAUUUCAAUGUCUUUUAUUUCUUUUGGUUGUCUGAUUACUAUGGCUACGACUCCCAAGACUAUGUUGGAUAACUGUAUUGCCUUGUCUUUUUCCUGUACCUAAG